Molecule: long non-coding RNA, 1904 nt
Filed under: Mustela putorius furo (domestic ferret)
Lineage: Eukaryota; Metazoa; Chordata; Mammalia; Carnivora; Mustelidae
Description: lncRNA (ENSMPUG00000029785.1)
Source: RNAcentral
UCAUAAGCCACUGAAGUUUGAUGCUCAAGACAGAUGAAAAUAUCUGAAUGCAAAGUCUUAGAAAAGGUGUUUUGCAGUUAAAAAAAAAAAAAAUCUCAAGGAAAAAAAAAUAUAUGUGUCAUCACAGUUCAUCACGGGCAUGUACAGAACUCACCGAGAUAGUGAAGGCCUGCCUGAUUGAUAUCCUUGGUGUGGCUGAGCACAAGGAGAUGGAUUUAUUCUCUAAGUCAAAUAUAAAAAUUAGUCCAAUGACUUCUAGACAUUUGUACAAGAGAUCAAGGACAACUAUAAAUUUCUAUGCUGGCAAUGCUACCAAAUCAAAUAUUGAGGAAGUAAAAGCCAAGAGAAACAGUAGCAACAUCUUCAAACAAGACCCAUCCCCAGCAAUCUAUAUUCAGUAGGCAUAGUCUGGAUCCCUGCAGCCUGGCUAUAUCAGCACAUCAACAACAAUUCGAUUCUCACCUUCUGGAGAACUGAAGGAAAUGAUCGGGAACUCCUCUGAUGAUGAAUUCAUCAACAGCUUGUCUGUCUCUGUAUUUAUACUCCUGAGAUCAUAUCCCAGCUCCCUCAUUAGCAUAAAGCCUUCAGGAGUAAUUCUGACUUUCAGAUGACAGGCUGAUGCUAACUCAAGUGCUUUCCCAGACACUUACUUAUUUGAUAUUUUUACCCCAAGUCAAAAUCUUAGGAGCAAUAAAACUACUUCCCAUUUUAGCAACCUUAUCAUACAUUGGAAACUUUGUAAAGCACAACAUUGUCAGUGUUCAGCAUUCUGAUAAACUUGAGAGAGAUCGAAUAAUUACAGCGUAUUUUGUAGUUCCGUUCAGAAUUUAAAACAAUGCCUAAAAUCACAUUAGGUAAAAGCUGGAAGAGUCAUCACAGAUUAUCUAGUCGUUUGCAGUAUGGGGCCUGGCAGCACUGGUCCUUCCAGAGGGCCGGUUAAUAAUGCGAAAUAUCAGAAACCACUGAAAGACCCACUGAGCCAGAAUCUGCAUUUGAACAAGAUCCCUAAAUGGGCUAGUCUCAUCUUACUUAUAUGGAAACUGAAGGUCAGGGAAUUUAAAUUCCUUGUCCAGGAUCAUACAGCAAAAGGUUACAAUUAGAACUCAACUUUUAACUUCCAGUCCUGUGUCCACCCCAGCUCCCCCAGAGCCAAAAGAACAUUUAAAGAUGCCUAUUAAAGGGGCACCUGGGUGGCUCAGUGGGUUAAGCCUCUGCCUUCGGCUCAGGUUAUGAUCUCAGCGUCCUGGGAUAGAGCUCCGCAUCACAUCGGGCUCUCUACUCAGUGGGAAGCCUGCUUCCCCCUCUCUCUGCCUGCCUCUCUGCCUACCUGUGAUCUCUCUGUCAAAUAAAUAAAUAAAAUCUUAAAAAAAAAAAAAAAGAGGCCUAUUAAUGUGCAGACACUACAUCACAUAUGUUAGCUAUAAAGAUGCGUGCCCCAGAGCCCUUGCUCUGAAGGAACCAGGACUAGUGAAGGGAAAACAGGUCAUUAUCUUUUAAGUGUGGUGACAAAGUUGUUCCCGGGCCACUAUGAGAAUAAUGAAAUGGGGAAGGGGGAAUAAUGAAAUGGGGACAUAACUCUAAGAGCGGAGAGAGGGGAAAGAGGAAGUGGAAGAAUGCCAAAUAAAAGGAAGGACAUACCUGAGCAAAGGACUGGUGGUGAGAAAAAAAAGAGGCAUAAAGGAGAAAAACAAGAGCUUGGAGUUAAUAGAAAUACAACCAGAACACUCCUGAAAGAUCAUUAAUUUUUAUCUAGACAAGUAAAGACCUAAACUGCAGGUGUGCAAAAUCAAAUUCCCACACAGGUCAUUUCCAAAUUCCCAUACCAAGAGGAAAUUUUUUAUACAAAUAAUCUUUUAUUCAAAUGACCUUCUGAAGUCUUUUUCUCCCUUUUUUUUCUAAAGAUU